RNAcentral lists this ribosomal RNA (348 nucleotides) under uncultured bacterium. Its description in RNAcentral is "bacterial SSU rRNA". It matches the Rfam family "Bacterial small subunit ribosomal RNA", at positions 917 to 1267 of the family's 1533-position model. The record is from RNAcentral.
GGGCCCGCACAAGCGGUGGAGUAUGUGGUUUAAUUCGAUGAUACGCGAGGAACCUUACCAGGGCUUAAAUGUAAGUUGCAUAGAUCAGAAAUGAAUCUUUCUUCGGACUACUUACAAGGUGCUGCAUGGUUGUCGUCAGCUCGUGCCGUGAGGUGUCAGGUUAAGUCCUAUAACGAGCGCAACCCCUAUCGUUAGUUGCCAUCAAGUAAAGUUGGGAACUCUAGCGAAACUGCCGGUGCAAACCGAGAGGAAGGUGGGGAUGACGUCAAAUCAUCACGGCCCUUACGUUCUGGGCUACACACGUGCUACAAUGGUCGGUACAGAAAGCAGCCACUAUGCGAAUAGGAG